Molecule: ribosomal RNA, 209 nt
Filed under: Kareniaceae sp. IFR10-474
Lineage: Eukaryota; Dinophyceae; Gymnodiniales; Kareniaceae
Description: partial 28S ribosomal RNA
Rfam family: Eukaryotic large subunit ribosomal RNA
Source: RNAcentral
AAGACAUGAAGUUAGGUCAGCAAACCCGCUGAAUUUAAGCAUAUAAGUAAGCGGAGGAUAAGAAACUAAAUAGGAUUCCCUCAGUAAUGGCGAAUGAACAGGGAUGAGCUCAGCAUGGAAAUUGGGGCCUCUGGCCUUGAAUUGUAGUCUGGAGAUGCAUUGCCAACGGAAGCGCAGAUGUAUAAACUCUUGGAAAGAGCAUCAUGAGU